RNAcentral lists this ribosomal RNA (301 nucleotides) under uncultured bacterium. RNAcentral describes it as "partial 16S ribosomal RNA". It matches the Rfam family "Bacterial small subunit ribosomal RNA", at positions 509 to 807 of the family's 1533-position model. The record is from RNAcentral.
CAGUAGCCGCGGUAAAACGGAGGGCGCGAGCGUUACCCGGAUUUACUGGGCGUAAAGGGCGUGUAGGCGGCCUGGGGCGUCCCAUGUGAAAGGCCACGGCUCAACCGUGGAGGAGCGUGGGAUACGCUCAGGCUAGAGGGUGGGAGAGGGUGGUGGAAUUCCCGGAGUAGCGGUGAAAUGCGCAGAUACCGGGAGGAACGCCGAUGGCGAAGGCAGCCACCUGGUCCACUUCUGACGCUGAGGCGCGAAAGCGUGGGGAGCAAACAGGAUUAGAUACCCGAGUAGUCCCUGUCUCUUAUAC